UUUUUUUGAAUUUUUUGUUGGUCAAAGCCGGAAUCAACUACUCAGUUUACCGAAAUUGUAUGUCUAUGGUGUUAACCACAUAACAUCGUAUAGUUCAUAUAUGUGGUCAUGCAAUACAUCUACUUUGUGUAGCUGAAGAUACAAUAAUAUAGUUAGGCAAAGUGCAUUUCACCAUUACUGUUCCGGUCAUAGGAAGUUUCCCUGAUAGAAA
RNAcentral lists this small RNA (211 nucleotides) under Arabidopsis thaliana (thale cress). RNAcentral describes it as "ATSL189050". The record is from RNAcentral. Lineage: Eukaryota; Viridiplantae; Streptophyta; Magnoliopsida; Brassicales; Brassicaceae.